CACGUGAUGCUGGUCACUGUAUUCAGAGGGGGAGGGAUCUUACUUUCGGUCGUGGCAAUUAGCUUUUAAAACACUAAUGCCUGCAUCAUUUGGCUGAGCCACUGUCAAAAAGACUCAAAGUUGCAUCAUUUACAACUCAGAGCUGAGAUCUCUAAAAAGUUCAAGGCCAAGACCCAAUGGGUAAUGGGACUCACUUUUAUUUUAUAAGUGGGUUUUCCUUUUUACUACUUUCUGAGUCUUACAAUUGAUUCGAAUGCAUGGCAAAAAUAUUAACAUGUUUCAUUCUGAAGCUUUGAUCCUGAACCUGCAUUUGCUCCAUCUACAUUUAUUAGUUUUUCCCUCGUCCUAACUUCUUAGCGUCCUUGGUUCUUUACCUUGUUAGUUCUGUCCCUGUUUUUGCCUUUUUGUCUCCUUAUGGUCCUGUUUCCAUGGCCCCUAAAAGUCCCAACACAACAGCAUAAAUACAUCGUGGUUGAAGACCUGGAGGAAGAACUCAUAAAUUUGGAUCUUAUAUUAUUGUAUAAACUUUUUAUAAUCUUAAUAAUUAUAAAAAGUUUAUACAAUUAAUAUUUUAACGACUCAACUAUUAAAUUUAUCAAUAUAAUUGUAUUUGCUAUGUAUGUAAAUUUUCGAAUCAAUAUAAUAUAUCUAUCAUAUCAAUCUAAAAUUUUGUAUAUAUUAAUAUCUAUUUAACAGUUAGAAAAAAAUUCUUUUACAUAUAACAAAUAAUUAAAAAAAUUUAAUUUAUAUUAAAUUUGACAUGCAUAACCUAUAUAAGUGAUCUAUAGAAGUGAAAUAUAAUAUAAAAUUAUUAGAUCCUUAGAUAAUAAUUACAUAAAAAAAAUAUACAAAAUGAUGUAAAAUUAAAAGGUAUAAGUGAAUCCUUCCCACUUUUUUAAACGGGAGGUUUGCUUUUCAAUUGGAGCAAAAUACCCUAGUGAAAAAUUAGUGCUCCAAUGUGGUAUGAGGUUCACGAUUGAAUAAAAUUGUUGUUAUCUAAACGCAAAAUCAUGGUACAUUUGUACAGAAUAUGUGAACUCAUUGAAACGUGAGUUCUACUCACAUCCAAAGGAAGCUGUAAUCAUCGAAAACAAUAGUUGAUCCUUAAGGAAUGGUUGGGUAUUAAAGGCAUUGAAAAUGUUGAUCUUCAACAUCUGAAUUUUGAGUUCAAAUCCAUAACAUGCCACUAUAACAAUGCACCAAAGAGAAUCGGAAAUGUGUUUGUUAUUAUAGAUUUUCAUAAAAAUGGCGAUGAAUUAUGUUAGAGUAAUAUUAUGUGAUCUACAACAAUCAUCAAAUUAAUCAAAAAGCAUUUGAGUGUUGUGGUAAGAUAUAUUACAUUCUCAAAAAGAGAACAUAAGUUCGAAUUUUAAAAAUGAUAUUAUUAAGAAAAACAAUUAUAAACUCUAAAUAAUAACAGUAAGAAAAGUUGCAUGGAAAUGUUUUGUUGAACUUCAGCUUUUGGAUUCAGCUAGUGCUCAGUGAAUCUUUAUAUUGGAUUUUCAGAGCUGAUGAUGAAAACAUCUUAUAUAACAUUAUUAAUGGCCUUAUCAUGCCAUAUUGCCAUAGCUUUGGUUAUUGUUACUGCAAUCAACCCUUUUAGGAACCAAUCCCCUUCAAGAUGUAGUUAAACUCAAGUUUUUGUUAAUUAUGAUAGAUUGUUCUCUCCCCUCCAUGAAACAUAUUGUCCACUUUUUCAUCUUACAAUAACAAAUAUCCAUAUUUUUAAUUGCAAUCGACAACUUUUUCGUCUUAGGAACUCUAAUCAACCAUCCAAAUGAAUAAGUAGAAUGUGUUAAAAUGCACUUUAUAUUAAUCAUAGAAAUCAACAAAACAAUGUUUUUAUUUCUAUGUUACAUACAUCUGUGGGAGGCAAUAAUUUUGAUUUUGAAGGUCACAGAUGAAUAUAAAUGUGUGGGAAGCAGUCACGACAAUCUGCUCACCAUGGGGCCACUUUACCCAACUCAUUAUCUCAUUAACUAGUUGGUAGAAGCAAACUGUAUUCCUUAAGCCACCAUCUCACUUAAUAUCCGGUAAUGGCACUUUCCAAAAAUUCCAUGCGUUAUAAUCUUCCUGCAAAAGUAUUUCCAUAUCAGGGAAACCAUUGAAGGCUCCAAAAUAAAAUCCAGGGACAAUCUUGCAGAGAAUUUGUAGUAAAGAGACAGGAAAUAUACUCCUUACCUGCUCAACCAAUGAGGCUGGCGGAAACAUGUCAUCAACAAGAGUAUGCAAUGACGUAUACGAUCUCACAUCAAUACGUUGACUAAUAGCCACCUCACCCUGCCAAGAUUAUUAGAAAGUCAAUAGUAACCGCAAGACAGGCUUCA
RNAcentral lists this long non-coding RNA (2327 nucleotides) under Gossypium barbadense (sea-island cotton). RNAcentral's name for it is "long non-coding RNA (GBAR_LNC019475)". Lineage: Eukaryota; Viridiplantae; Streptophyta; Magnoliopsida; Malvales; Malvaceae. The record is from RNAcentral.